CCUGCUCACUGUUUUAUAAAUAGCCGCUUUUUAAGUGCUAAGGUAGCAUAAUCACUUGUCUUUUAAUUAAAGAAUAGAAUGAAUGGGAAAACGAGUAUAGAAUUUUAUUUAAAUUUUUUUAUAAAAUUUAUUUAAAAGUAAAAAAGCUUUUAUUAAUAGAAAAGACGACAAGACCCUUUAGAACUUUACUAAAAGUUUAACUGGGGUGGUUAACUAAAAUACCUAGAAACAUUUAAAUAAACAUCCUUAUUUGAUUAAACAGUUACCUAAGGGAUAACAGCAUAAUUUAAUUUUAAAGCUCUUAUAAAAAAUUAAGAUUAUGACCUCGAUGUUGAAUUAUAUAUCUAAUAAUAGAAAAUUAUUAUUUAGUAAGUCUGUUCGACUUUUAAAAAUAUACAU
This 399-nucleotide ribosomal RNA is filed under the name Althepus leucosternum. RNAcentral describes it as "partial 16S ribosomal RNA". It matches the Rfam family "Bacterial large subunit ribosomal RNA", at positions 1858 to 2601 of the family's 2925-position model. Lineage: Eukaryota; Metazoa; Arthropoda; Arachnida; Araneae; Ochyroceratidae. The record is from RNAcentral.